This 373-nucleotide ribosomal RNA is filed under the name uncultured bacterium. RNAcentral's name for it is "bacterial SSU rRNA". It matches the Rfam family "Bacterial small subunit ribosomal RNA", at positions 30 to 404 of the family's 1533-position model. The record is from RNAcentral.
AUUGAACGCUGGCGGCAUGCUUUACACAUGCAAGUCGAACGGCAGCGCGGGGGCAACCCUGGCGGCGAGUGGCGAACGGGUGAGUAAUGCAUCGGAACGUAUCCUGUAAUGGGGGAUAACGUAGCGAAAGUUACGCUAAUACCGCAUACGCUCGAGAGAGGAAAGUGGGGGAUCGCAAGACCUCACGUUAUAGGAGCGGCCGAUGUCCGAUUAGCUAGUUGGUGGUGUAAGGCCUACCAAGGCGACGAUCGGUAGCUGGUCUGAGAGGAUGAUCAGCCACACUGGGACUGAGACACGGCCCAGACUCCUACGGGAGGCAGCAGUGGGGAAUUUUGGACAAUGGGCGAAAGCCUGAUCCAGCCAUGCCGCGUGC